UACGGAGGACCCAAGCGUUACCCGGAAUUACUGGGCGUAAAGAGUUGCGUAGGCGGCUUGUUAAGUCUUAGCUUAAAUCUCAAGGCUCAACCUUGAGGCUGGUUAAGAUACUGGCGAGCUAGAGGAAGGUAGAGGCAAGCGGAAUUAGUAGUGUAGGGGUGAAAUCCGUAGAUACUACUAGGAACACCAGUGGCGUAAGCGGCUUGCUGGACCUUUCCUGACGCUGAGGCACGAAAGCGUAGGUAGCGAACCGG
This 254-nucleotide ribosomal RNA is filed under the name uncultured bacterium. RNAcentral's name for it is "partial 16S ribosomal RNA". It matches the Rfam family "Bacterial small subunit ribosomal RNA", at positions 524 to 776 of the family's 1533-position model. The record is from RNAcentral.